Molecule: ribosomal RNA, 460 nt
Filed under: uncultured bacterium
Lineage: Bacteria
Description: partial 16S ribosomal RNA
Rfam family: Bacterial small subunit ribosomal RNA
Source: RNAcentral
CCUACGGGUGGCAGCAGUGAGGAAUAUUGGUCAAUGGACGAGAGUCUGAACCAGCCAAGUAGCGUGAAGGAUGACUGCCCUAUGGGUCGUAAACUUCUUUUAUCUGGGAACAAAACAGGGGAUUCAUACCCUCUUGUAUGUACCUUAUGAAUAAGGAUCGGCUAACUCCGUGCCAGCAGCCGCGGUAAUACGGAGGAUCCGAGCGUUAUCCGGAUUUAUUGGGUUUAAAGGGUGCGUAGGUGGAUUGUUAAGUCAGUUGUGAAAGUUUGCGGCUCAACCGUAAAAUUGCAGUUGAAACUGGCAGGCUUGAGUACAGUAGAGGUGGGCGGAAUUCGUGGUGUAGCGGUGAAAUGCUUAGAUAUCGCGAAGAACUCCGAUUGCGAAGGCAGCUCACUGGACUGCAACUGACACUGAUGCUCGAAAGUGUGGGUAUCAAACAGGAUUAGAUACCCGAGUAGUC